UCCUUGGUGGUCCAGUGGAUAAGACUCUGCACUCCCAAUGCAGGGGCCUGGGUCUGAUCCCUGGUCGUGGAA
This 72-nucleotide transfer RNA is filed under the name Bos taurus (domestic cattle). It matches the Rfam family "tRNA". From Rfam's summary of the family: Transfer RNA (tRNA) molecules are approximately 80 nucleotides in length. Their secondary structure includes four short double-helical elements and three loops (D, anti-codon, and T loops). Lineage: Eukaryota; Metazoa; Chordata; Mammalia; Artiodactyla; Bovidae. RNAcentral also lists the same sequence under 2 other names. The record is from Rfam by way of RNAcentral.